ACCCCUGUAACUCAGUGGAUAGAGUAGCGGACUUCUAAUCCGUUUGUCGUUGGUUCGAAUCCAAUCAGGGGUG
RNAcentral lists this transfer RNA (73 nucleotides) under bacterium. RNAcentral's name for it is "tRNA-Arg". It matches the Rfam family "tRNA". From Rfam's summary of the family: Transfer RNA (tRNA) molecules are approximately 80 nucleotides in length. Their secondary structure includes four short double-helical elements and three loops (D, anti-codon, and T loops). The record is from RNAcentral.